UGAGGAAUAUUGGUCAAUGGGCGAAAGCCUGAACCAGCCAUGCCGCGUGCAGGAAUAAGGCCCUAUGGGUCGCAGACUGCUUUUGCAUGAGAAUAAAAAGUGGGACGAGUCCCACCCUGUAGGUAUCAUGCGAAUAAGGAUCGGCUAACUCCGUGCCAGCAGCCGCGGUAAUACGGAAGGUCCGGGCGUUAUCCGGAUUUAUUGGGUUUAAAGGGAGCGCAGGCGGGCUUUUAAGUCAGUUGUGAAAUACGGCGGCUCAACCGUCGGACUGCAGUUGAUACUGGAAGCCUUGAGUUCACACAGGGAUGCCGGAAUUCAUGGUGUAGCGGUGAAAUGCUCAGAUAUCAUGAAGAACCCCGAUCGCGAAGGCAGGCAUCCGGGGUGUUACUGACGCUGAGGCUCGAAAGUGCGGGUAUCAAACA
Molecule: ribosomal RNA, 422 nt
Filed under: uncultured Bacteroides sp.
Lineage: Bacteria; Pseudomonadati; Bacteroidota; Bacteroidia; Bacteroidales; Bacteroidaceae
Description: bacterial SSU rRNA
Rfam family: Bacterial small subunit ribosomal RNA
Source: RNAcentral